Molecule: ribosomal RNA, 408 nt
Filed under: uncultured bacterium
Lineage: Bacteria
Description: bacterial SSU rRNA
Rfam family: Bacterial small subunit ribosomal RNA
Source: RNAcentral
GUUUGAUCCUGGCUCAGAGCGAACGUUAGCGGCGCGCCUAACACAUGCAAGUCGCACGAGAAAGGGGGCAACCCCCGGUACAGUGGCGCACGGGUGAGUAACACGUGGGUGAUCUGCCCAGAAGAAGGGGAUAACCUCUCGAAAGGGGGGCUAAUACCGCAUAGGACCACCGGGGCUUUGGCUCUGUGGUGAAAGGGGGCCUCUGUUUACAAGCUCCUGCUUCUGGAUGAGCCCGCGUCCCAUCAGCUAGUUGGUAGGGUAAUGGCCUACCAAGGCUACGACGGGUAGCUGGUCUAAGAGGAUGGCCAGCCACACUGGAACUGAGACACGGUCCAGACUCCUACGGGAGGCAGCAGUGGGGAAUCUUGCGCAAUGGGCGAAAGCCUGACGCAGCGACGCCGCGUGGGU